RNAcentral lists this transfer RNA (59 nucleotides) under Clostridium sp. AF02-29. RNAcentral describes it as "tRNA-Ile". It matches the Rfam family "tRNA", at positions 1 to 56 of the family's 71-position model. Rfam says of the family: Transfer RNA (tRNA) molecules are approximately 80 nucleotides in length. Their secondary structure includes four short double-helical elements and three loops (D, anti-codon, and T loops). Further hydrogen bonds mediate the characteristic L-shaped molecular structure. tRNAs have two regions of fundamental functional importance: the anti-codon, which is responsible for specific mRNA codon recognition, and the 3' end, to which the tRNAs corresponding amino acid is attached (by aminoacyl-tRNA synthetases). tRNAs cope with the degeneracy of the genetic code in two manners: having more than one tRNA (with a specific anti-codon) for a particular amino acid; and 'wobble' base-pairing, i.e. permitting non-standard base-pairing at the 3rd anti-codon position. The record is from RNAcentral. Lineage: Bacteria; Bacillati; Bacillota; Clostridia; Eubacteriales; Clostridiaceae.
GGGCUUAUAGCUCAGCCGGUUAGAGCGCACGCCUGAUAAGCGUGAGGUCGGUGGUUCGA